UGGGGAAUUUUGGACAAUGGGGGCAACCCUGAUCCAGCCAUGCCGCGUGAGUGAAGAAGGCCUUCGGGUUGUAAAGCUCUUUCGGCGGGGACGAAACGGUCCGUGACAACACCACGGACUAAUGACAGUACUCGCAGAAGAAGCACCGGCUAACUACGUGCCAGCAGCCGCGGUAAUACGUAGGGUGCAGGCGUUAAUCGGAAUUACUGGGCGUAAAGCGUGCGCAGGCGGCUCCUUAAGUCAGAUGUGAAAUCCCCGGGCUUAACCUGGGAACUGCGUUUGAAACUGAGGGGCUAGAGUGUGGAAGAGGGGGGUGGAAUUCCAGGUGUAGCAGUGAAAUGCGUAGAGAUCUGGAGGAACACCGAUGGCGAAGGCAGCCCCCUGGGCUAACACUGGCGCUCAUGCACGAAAGCGUGGGGAGCAAACAGGAUUAGAUACCCGUGUAGUCCCUGAGCGGGCUGGCAAGGCGCAU
This 472-nucleotide ribosomal RNA is filed under the name uncultured bacterium. RNAcentral describes it as "bacterial SSU rRNA". It matches the Rfam family "Bacterial small subunit ribosomal RNA", at positions 355 to 825 of the family's 1533-position model. The record is from RNAcentral.